This 302-nucleotide long non-coding RNA is filed under the name Brassica napus (rape). Its description in RNAcentral is "long non-coding RNA (BNAP_LNC019303)". Lineage: Eukaryota; Viridiplantae; Streptophyta; Magnoliopsida; Brassicales; Brassicaceae. The record is from RNAcentral.
CCAUCUUCGAAACAGAGAAUACUCACCAUGGGUCGACAAGCCACCAAUACCCCUAACUUAUCUAUGCAGCCACCGAGAAAUUCCACUUGACAAACAUAAAUUUCAAAAAAUUGUCUCCAAUACCUACCACAUGUCAACAAUUCCGGCAUAUUUUUUUUCAAAAAAAAAAAACAAUUCCGGCAUAUUCGAUUGCCGGAGGAAAAGGAAAGUGGAAGACCUCGAACAUCGUUCGUCAAAAUUCCUGUCAACCGGAUCGAAUAAAAUUUAAGAAAAGAGAAAAAAAAAACAAUGGUGUCUGAGAU